UUCAUCGGCCUUGGCAUUUUUUGUAUAAGUGUUUCUUUACCUGUUCGGCAGCCCCCGGAGCCCCGGGGCCCCCCAGACACCCGUCUGGUCAUGGAGUCGUCUGCACUUUGAAGAAAAUGGGACCAACGUGACAAGUCGCUGCCUUUGUCGGUCAAGGCCAAGAUACACAGCAGCAAAUGUCAGCCAGAGACGGGGCCCCUGGAAUAGGGGGGCUGCUGCGCCUGAACAUUCUGCAUAAUUGGAAGGCGAGGUUAACAGCAAUAAGGAAAAUGAACACGGACGUCCAACGGUUUAUGAAGCAGAUGCUGGAAAGUAAAUAGAGCGGAGGGCGUCCAACUAGCUCAGCCGGAGCCUGUUAUUUAUUUUUUUAGAGUGACGGAAUAACACGGGGGCGGGGGAGCGGGAGGGCCGCGUGUUUGGGGAAAGUCACGGCCGUGGAGUCGGGCCCAGGACUCGGGCUGAAGUCCAGCUGCCUCCACCCCAGCUGUGUGGCCCUUGGCGGGGGCCCCAGCUGACCUCUUCCCAGGGUGAAGGAGUGGAACGUCACUGAUGGGAAGCUUUUCUGUUUUAGGGGCCAUCGGAGGGUCAACAACACACAGGAGACAAGACGACUUGGGGGUUUUCUUGACAAACCGUACAUGGCACAUCCGCUGCUACUAGCCCGCUCCUGGGAAGUAUCUCACCGAAGUCACUUAUCAACCCCAUGGGUGGACCAGAAAUAUGGAUGGUUUGGGAGCUACCAGGCUCUUACCGUCCCAGAGAUCCCCGGAAUGACACCAUCAUGAACAGAGCUCAAGUUAACAGGGUCCUGAUGACACUGUUGGAGCCCCUGACUCCAUCGGUACCUGGAGACUGACCUCUGAGGUUUUCAGUUAUAUGAGUCAACACAUUUUACUCUUGCUCAAAUCAGUUCCAAUUGAGUGUCUCUUGCAAUUUACUACAUUAAACUUUAAAACCUCUGCAUAGCGAAGGAUGCCAUUAAAUAUUUAAAAAUAUAUGCCCAAAG
This 1006-nucleotide long non-coding RNA is filed under the name Felis catus (domestic cat). RNAcentral's name for it is "lncRNA (ENSFCAG00000042195.2)". The record is from RNAcentral. Lineage: Eukaryota; Metazoa; Chordata; Mammalia; Carnivora; Felidae.